CCUGUUUACCAAAAACAUCACCUCUAGCAUUAUCAGUAUUAGAGGCACUGCCUGCCCAGUGACAUUAGUUAAACGGCCGCGGUAUCCUGACCGUGCAAAGGUAGCAUAAUCAUUUGUUCCUUAAUUAGGGACUUGUAUGAAUGGCCUCACGAGGGUUUAACUGUCUCUUACUUUUAAUCAGUGAAAUUGACCUUCCCGUGAAGAGGCGGGAAUACUAAAAUAAGACGAGAAGACCCUAUGGAGCUUAAAUUAAAUUAUCCAACAAACCUAACUUAAAUCCAACAGGAAUAAUUAAACUUUAACUGGAUAAUAAAUUUUGGUUGGGGUGACCUCGGAGCAUAACUUAACCUCCGAGCAGUUAAAACUCAGACUUACCCGUCAAAGUGGAACUAUUAAUUGAUCCAAUCUUAUUGAUCAACGGAACAAGUUACCCUAGGGAUAACAGCGCAAUCCUAUUUAAGAGUCCAUAUCGACAAUAGGGUUUACGACCUCGAUGUUGGAUCAGGACAUCCUAAUGGUGCAGCAGCUAUUAAAGGUUCGUUUGUUCAACGAUUAAAG
Molecule: ribosomal RNA, 558 nt
Filed under: Suncus murinus (house shrew)
Lineage: Eukaryota; Metazoa; Chordata; Mammalia; Eulipotyphla; Soricidae
Description: partial 16S ribosomal RNA
Rfam family: Bacterial large subunit ribosomal RNA
Source: RNAcentral